GGAAACCGGAGCUAAUACCGGAUAAUAUUUUGAACCGCAUGGUUCAAAAGUGAAAGACGGUCUUGCUGUCACUUAUAGAUGGAUCCGCGCUGCAUUAGCUAGUUGGUAAGGUAACAGCUUACCAAGGCAACGAUGCGUAGCCGACCUGAGAGGGUGAUCGGCCACACUGGAACUGAGACACGGUCCAG
Molecule: ribosomal RNA, 188 nt
Filed under: uncultured Staphylococcus sp.
Lineage: Bacteria; Bacillati; Bacillota; Bacilli; Caryophanales; Staphylococcaceae
Description: partial 16S ribosomal RNA
Rfam family: Bacterial small subunit ribosomal RNA
Source: RNAcentral